AUGAAGUGCCCCGCGCCGAAACGUCCGGCGGCGAAACGUCCAGUCGGCAAAACGUCCGUGUACCGGCAAUAACAUGUUAUAUUUUAUAUUAAAAAAACUAUAAUAGAAAAAAAUGAAUGUUCAUACCGGGAGUCGGUGUUAAAGAUGUUAUGUUUUACGAAGUUCUCUUCAGUCUAUGCUCUCCUCGUGAAACGCACCGUCAGAGGUCAACAAGUCAACCCCUAAAAGCUUUUAUUUGUGACCCGCAUAAAUGUAUGACACACACACAAGCAGGGGCUUGCACAUUGAACUCUGCCCUCUUUUAGACGAUGUCAUCUGCAAGGUAGGCAAGCUUUUUUUUCUCUCCAUUGCCACACCCAUAUAACAGGGUCACAAAGAGAAAACCCGCAGCUUGGGGUAUUUACACCUGUCGUAGUCGGGUAGAAGGUUGGCUGUUGACAUCCCCAAGUACAUAAACAUCAAGAAACAUUGACUCUGGUUACAGGUCAGUACAGGUGUAAGGAGUGGAAACAGUGUUGUGAGUCUGUAGUGCAGCGACAGCUCGUGUAGAAGUCAGGUAUUGCUGUCACCGACAGAUCGGUGAAGGUGAAGGAAGAUGUGCUGUGAGACAGUUUUAUCAAUUAUUCUUGGAAUCAUAGACAUCUGUGGUCUUGCGAGCGACUGGCUUUUCUUCGCUGAACUGCAGGUCACAGAGAAAGGUCUGGUGUACGGACCAGAGGACGAGAAAGUUCUCAAUGCUCUCUUGGCCUUUUGUGUCAUCGGAACCGCCAUCUUCAUCUUUGAAGGGAUUAGCCAUAUAUACAGUCUAUGUAGUGACAGUGGUAAGGAAUGUAUCAACACAGACCUCAUCUCCUUCCUGGCCGUCCUGUUCGGAGACAUUCCUCAAGUUAGUAUCAGUGUGUACGUGGCCUACUGUCGGGAGGAUGGAGUGAGCUACUUUCAGUUGGCGAAGGCGGUGUUUGUCUUUCUAGGAAUCAUCAUC
This is a long non-coding RNA of Pomacea canaliculata, 982 nucleotides long. RefSeq lists it as uncharacterized. The record is from RefSeq and is a predicted model, not a curated record. Lineage: Eukaryota; Metazoa; Mollusca; Gastropoda; Architaenioglossa; Ampullariidae. The transcript has 3 exons.